UUCUUUUCCGACCCUUUCUCUCUUUUCUCUGUCGAUGUUAACGGCGAUGGAUUCCUGAAAUCUAACAAACGAUCAGAGACCAAGACCACGAAGAAGAAUGAUGUCACCUCCCCCAAAAAAAUUCACCAACGAUUCAAACAUCGUUCAUAAGAACAUCAAUCGAGACAAUCAAACGCAACCCAGCUCAGAUUUUUCCCAUAAAAAAAAAGAAUCUGAUUUUUAUUUCUCUCAAAUUCGGAAUCUUUCGAUGUGGGUGUUAAUCUGUUUUAGUAGUUUUCGAUCUGGGUUUCAUUUUGUUUUUUUUUUUUCUUUUUUUGCUACAUUGCAUAAAAGCCGUUUCAUUUGUUAGGUUUUGUUGUGUUCUUUCUUUGUUUGUAUUCAUGGAUUCAUCUUUGUGAUGUGUUUGUGUAGAUUGUUUAAAAGUUACUCUAUGUGGAAGUAAAUACUAAAGAGGAGGAUAUUGUGUUACUGUUACUGCGAGCCUUUUAGUUUCUUGUUUUAUCGUCUUCAAAGUUUUGGCUUUUUUGAGUUUUGUUUUGGGCAGUGAUGAUUAAUUGUAACAGCUUGAUACGCCAGUUCUGCUUCAGAAAAUUCUUGAUUGAAAAAGCUGUAUUCUUAUCUGAGCCCUUUAUUAGUGUUUCUUUUACCAAGUGUUUGUUUUCGAGACCUAUAGAAAGUUGAUUUAUUUGGCCGUUACAAGUUCUUGUAAAUGAGAAAGGUUGGCAAUGAUAAAUUAUGAUGAUUUAAGGGAAAUUAAGAUUGGUACAAGUUGUUGGGGAAGAAUGGGAAUUGUGCUAUGUUUCAAAUUUCUUGAUCCCCUCUUGUAGAAUCACAGCAAAGGCAGAAAUAUUAGAAGAUUCAAAAUCUUUAGCGGAUCAGAAGGUUGAGAAUGAUGCAGUCGUGGCUCUGGCUUUGAGGAAAGGUUGAACUCUUUAAAAUAUUUGUGGACGUAUCUAGCUGAACCUGAUUCAUGUUUAUAUCCGAUCAAUCUUAUCACUCAGCCUCCC
Molecule: non-coding RNA, 1007 nt
Organism: Camelina sativa (false flax)
Lineage: Eukaryota; Viridiplantae; Streptophyta; Magnoliopsida; Brassicales; Brassicaceae
Source: RefSeq, a predicted model, not a curated record